UUUUGAUGAGCCCUUAGAUGACGAGUCUGAUUCUGUCUGGACGAGGUUUCCUUGUCCUGACAACCCGUGACGAUCCAUCAAAAUUUAUACCAUUCAUGCUUUUCUGACU
This 109-nucleotide small nucleolar RNA is filed under the name Piloderma croceum F 1598. Lineage: Eukaryota; Fungi; Basidiomycota; Agaricomycetes; Atheliales; Atheliaceae. The record is from RNAcentral.